UACGUAGGUGGCAAGCGUUGUCCGGAUUUACUGGGCGUAAAGGGCGUGCAGGCGGUCUGUUAAGUCUAGGGUGAAAGCUCCUGGCUCAACUGGGAGAGGUCCUUGGAUACUGGCGGACUUGAGGGAGGCAGAGGAAAGUGGAAUUCCCGGUGUAGUGGUGAUAUGCGUAGAUAUCGGGAGGAACACCAGUGGCGAAGGCGGCUUCUGGGCCUUACCUGACGCUGAGACGCGAAAGCGUGGGGAGCGAACAGG
Molecule: ribosomal RNA, 252 nt
Filed under: uncultured bacterium
Lineage: Bacteria
Description: partial 16S ribosomal RNA
Rfam family: Bacterial small subunit ribosomal RNA
Source: RNAcentral